GGUGAGGUGGCUGAAUUAGGUGUUAGACUGUAAAUCUAUUUAUGAGAAUUUUCUCCCUUACCA
RNAcentral lists this transfer RNA (63 nucleotides) under Oedipoda caerulescens. RNAcentral's name for it is "tRNA-Tyr". It matches the Rfam family "tRNA". From Rfam's summary of the family: Transfer RNA (tRNA) molecules are approximately 80 nucleotides in length. Their secondary structure includes four short double-helical elements and three loops (D, anti-codon, and T loops). Lineage: Eukaryota; Metazoa; Arthropoda; Insecta; Orthoptera; Acrididae. The record is from RNAcentral.